GCCAGGCACAGUUGUGCAUGCCUGAAAUCCAGCUAUUUUGGAGGUUGAGGCAGGAGGAUCACAAGUUUGAGACCAGUCUGGGCCAUUUAGUGAGACCCUGUCUCAA
RNAcentral lists this small RNA (106 nucleotides) under Marmota monax (woodchuck). Lineage: Eukaryota; Metazoa; Chordata; Mammalia; Rodentia; Sciuridae. The record is from RNAcentral.